This 802-nucleotide ribosomal RNA is filed under the name uncultured Glomus. RNAcentral's name for it is "SSU rRNA". It matches the Rfam family "Eukaryotic small subunit ribosomal RNA", at positions 316 to 1114 of the family's 1831-position model. The record is from RNAcentral. Lineage: Eukaryota; Fungi; Glomeromycota; Glomeromycetes; Glomerales; Glomeraceae.
CAACUUUCGAUGGUAGGAUAGAGGCCUACCAUGGNNGUAACGGGUAACGGGGAAUUAGGGUUCGAUUCCGGAGAGGGAGCCUGAGAAACGGCUACCACAUCCAAGGAAGGCAGCAGGCGCGCAAAUUACCCAAUCCCGACACGGGGAGGUAGUGACAAUAAAUAACAAUACGGGGCUCUUUCGGGUCUCGUAAUUGGAAUGAGUACGAUUUAAAUCCCUUAACGAGGAACAAUUGGAGGGCAAGUCUGGUGCCAGCAGCCGCGGUAAUUCCAGCUCCAAUAGCGUAUAUUAAAGUUGUUGCAGUUAAAAAGCUCGUAGUUGAAUUUCGGGAUUGACACAUCGGUCGUGCCCUAAGGGGUAUGAACUGGUGUCGUCAGUUUCUCACCUUCUGGAGAACCGCGAUGUCCUUAAUUGGGUGCCGCGAGGAACCAGGACCUUUACUUUGAAAAAAUUAGAGUGUUUAAAGCAGGCAUUUUGCUUGAAUACAUUAGCAUGGAAUAAUAAAAUAGGACGGAUGGUUCUAUUUUGUUGGUUUCUAGGAUCACCGUAAUGAUUAAUAGGGAUAGUUGGGGGCAUUAGUAUUCAAUUGUCAGAGGUGAAAUUCUUGGAUUUAUUGAAGACUAACUACUGCGAAAGCAUUUGCCAAGGAUGUUUUCAUUAAUCAAGAACGAAAGUUAGGGGAUCGAAGACGAUCAGAUACCGUCGUAGUCUUAACCAUAAACUAUGCCGACUAGGAAUCAGACGAUGUUAAUUUUUUAAUGACUCGUCUGGCACCUUACGGGAAACCAAAGUGUUUGGGUUC